GAAAACAGAAAGCAGAAAGUGGAAGGCUACAAGGAUUGCCGUGUGGAGAGCAUGCAAACAAUGUUGAGAGCUGCCACACGGUACUGCGAGGGUCUCAAAGGCACUAGCACACGGCAAAGUGGGACAGAAGAGAUGGAAUCGUAAUGUGAGAGGCUUGGGGGAGUGGGGGGUUGCGCUGAUAGCAUGGACUUUAAAUACAACCCCAGCUCCAAAAAAACUUGGGACGCUGUGUAAAAUAUACUCCAGAAGAUCUCUGGAGAGAGACUGGUCAUUCAUUUCAGACAGACAGAGGAACAGAUUGAUGGAUCUCUCAGUUGAGAUUUGAUAUUCUUCAUCCCUU
Colossoma macropomum (tambaqui) is the source of this 340-nucleotide long non-coding RNA. RefSeq lists it as uncharacterized. The transcript is spliced from 3 exons. The record is from RefSeq and is a predicted model, not a curated record. NCBI's taxonomy places the organism in Eukaryota, Metazoa, Chordata, Actinopteri, Characiformes, Serrasalmidae.